UGUAGAGUCGAUCUGUCUAACUUUCUUGCUUAUUGCAAAUAACACAGUCUUAAUUAUUAUUUAUAGCUUGUCAAAUUUAAAUACAAUUUCCAAGAAAUAUGCACAAAAAUACAAGUAUUUUUACCUAUGAAUGUCAUAUGUUUUUUUUUUUUAAUUAUCAAAUGAGAACACAACUGAAAGCGCUCAAUGCAACACUUAUUUCUCACUUCAAAUCUAUAGUUAUUCAUCUUCAUAUUUCAUACACUUUUCCGAUAUCAUCAGAUUACAUUAAGAACAAAAUAAUGUUACAAUUAAAUUUUACCUUAUCGUUUUCAAAAGAACAUACUAUAGAAUAUGCUUCCUGUUACCAACAACAGCAUUGGCAAUGAACAACAACUGACCUUGGAAUCCAACAACAAUCCGAUGAUGCGUCCCAGCGAUGUUGCAAUGAAAUCGACUUGUCAUUUCUAUUUCCCGAGGAAGUCUGUAGGCUAAUUAAUAUUUUAUUACCUCGCUUCUCAAACUAACUCGGGCGAACCCGCGGGGCACACAAGGUUGACGACAAACACGAACGCACAAUAAAACAACGGACAUAAGAUUACUUUACACCAUGAUUAUACAGAUUUGUGUACAUACUAUUUUUUAUACCUAUGAUAAGGAUAUCGUUGUAGCGGGGGGAGGGGGGGAAGUAGGCAUCAUGCCCCGAGCGCUAUUCACAAAGGGGCACCAAAUGCUCCGCAAAACUAAAAAUUGCUGGAUAUAUUAUAUGGUUUUCAGAGGGGGAGGGGGGGGGGGGGGAUAAAAAGGUUUUGUGCGCUGGAUGCGAGUUAAGCUCGCUACACCACUGGAUUGGGCUGAAGAAAUAAUUUUAAUCAGCUCAAGGCCAAAUCGCGACUUUAGCAACUUAGACGAUAAUGAUAAUGUUGUUUAAACGAGUUAUUUUUGUUAAUUAAAUUUCAGGGAGUAAAAUGUAAGUUAACACCAAAAAUAAUCAAUAAUAAUAACAUAAAAACAAACAUAACAUGAAGGUUUUCAAUUAAUUAAUAUAAACAAGAAGUAGAAAGUAGGAAGUCAAAUAACAAUAAUUGAUAUCAGAAUAUGAAACAGGUGCAAAAA
This 1095-nucleotide unclassified non-coding RNA is filed under the name Melitaea cinxia (Glanville fritillary). RNAcentral describes it as "misc RNA ENSMCXG00005006741.1". The record is from RNAcentral. Lineage: Eukaryota; Metazoa; Arthropoda; Insecta; Lepidoptera; Nymphalidae.